Small nuclear RNA from Bison bison bison, 107 nucleotides. The record is from Ensembl. NCBI's taxonomy places the organism in Eukaryota, Metazoa, Chordata, Mammalia, Artiodactyla, Bovidae.
AAGCUGGAGUCAGGAGCAUGUAUACUAAAACUGGAACAAUAUACAGAAGAUUAGCAAAGCCUCUGAGCAAGGAUGACAGGCACAUAUGUGAGAUGUUCCACAUUUGU